ACGGGAGGCAGCAGUGAGGAAUAUUGGUCAAUGGACGAGAGUCUGAACCAGCCAAGUAGCGUGCAGGAUGACGGCCCUAUGGGUUGUAAACUGCUUUUGUACGGGAAUAAAGUGACCUACGUGUAGGUUUUUGCAUGUACCGUAAGAAUAAGGACCGGCUAAUUCCGUGCCAGCAGCCGCGGUAAUACGGAAGGUCCGGGCGUUAUCCGGAUUUAUUGGGUUUAAAGGGAGCGCAGGCGGCGAUUUAAGCGUGUUGUGAAAUGUAGGAGCUCAACUUCUGCACUGCAGCGCGAACUGGAUUGCUUGAGUACGCGGGAAGUAGGCGGAAUUCGUCGUGUAGCGGUGAAAUGCUUAGAUAUGACGAAGAACUCCGAUUGCGAAGGCAGCCUACUGUAGCGUUACUGACGCUAAAGCUCGAAAGUGUGGGUAUCGAACAGGAUUAGAUACCCUGGUA
RNAcentral lists this ribosomal RNA (454 nucleotides) under uncultured Prevotella sp. RNAcentral's name for it is "partial 16S ribosomal RNA". It matches the Rfam family "Bacterial small subunit ribosomal RNA", at positions 341 to 792 of the family's 1533-position model. Lineage: Bacteria; Pseudomonadati; Bacteroidota; Bacteroidia; Bacteroidales; Prevotellaceae. The record is from RNAcentral.